RNAcentral lists this small nuclear RNA (19 nucleotides) under Arabidopsis thaliana (thale cress). RNAcentral's name for it is "snRNA_15995". Lineage: Eukaryota; Viridiplantae; Streptophyta; Magnoliopsida; Brassicales; Brassicaceae. The record is from RNAcentral.
CCAAUAGGGAACGUGAGCU